RNAcentral lists this ribosomal RNA (460 nucleotides) under uncultured bacterium. Its description in RNAcentral is "partial 16S ribosomal RNA". It matches the Rfam family "Bacterial small subunit ribosomal RNA", at positions 338 to 795 of the family's 1533-position model. The record is from RNAcentral.
CCUACGGGUGGCAGCAGUGAGGAAUAUUGGUCAAUGGGCGCAAGCCUGAACCAGCCACGUCGCGUGAGGGAUGAAUGUCCUACGGAUUGUAAACCUCUUUUAUAAAGGAAUAAAGUGAGGCACGUGUACCUUUUUGUAUGUACUUUAUGAAUAAGGAUCGGCUAACUCCGUUCCAGCAGCCGCGGUAAUACGGAGGAGCCGAGCGUUAUCCGGAUUUAUUGGGUUUAAAGGGUGCGUAGGUGGGUUUUUAAGUCAGUGGUGAAAGUCUGGGGCUCAACCGUAAAAUUGAAGUUGAUACUGGGAGACUGGAGUAAAGUUGAGGGAGGCGGAAUGCGUGGUGUAGCAGUGAAAUGCUUAGAUAUCACGAAGAACACCGAUUGCGAAGGCAGGUUGCUAAGCUAUCACUGACGCUGAUGCACGAAAGCGUGGGGAGCAAACAGGAUUAGAUACCCCAGUAGUC